Molecule: ribosomal RNA, 253 nt
Filed under: uncultured bacterium
Lineage: Bacteria
Description: partial 16S ribosomal RNA
Rfam family: Bacterial small subunit ribosomal RNA
Source: RNAcentral
UACGAAGGGUGCAAACGUUGCUCGGAAUUAUUGGGCGUAAAGCGCACGUAGGCGGCUUGGCAAGUCGGAUGUGAAAUCCCUCGGCUCAACCAAGGAAGUGCAUCCGAAACUGCUGAGCUUGAGUACUUAAGAGGAUCGCGGAAUUCCCGGUGUAGAGGUGAAAUUCGUAGAUAUCGGGAGGAACACCAGUGGCGAAGGCGGCGAUCUGGGAAGAUACUGACGCUGAGGUGCGAAAGCGUGGGGAGCGAACAGG